Molecule: ribosomal RNA, 254 nt
Filed under: uncultured bacterium
Lineage: Bacteria
Description: partial 16S ribosomal RNA
Rfam family: Bacterial small subunit ribosomal RNA
Source: RNAcentral
UACGUAGGGUGCGAGCGUUGUCCGGAAUUAUUGGGCGUAAAGAGCUCGUAGGCGGUCUGUCGCGUCGGUCGUGAAAACUUGGGGCUUAACCCUGAGCUUGCGGUCGAUACGGGCAUGACUGGAGUUCGGCAGGGGAGACUGGAAUUCCUGGUGUAGCGGUGAAAUGCGCAGAUAUCAGGAGGAACACCGGUGGCGAAGGCGGGUCUCUGGGCAUUAACUGACGCUGAGGAGCGAAAGCAUGGGGAGCAAACAGG